RNAcentral lists this small RNA (67 nucleotides) under Bacillus sp. FJAT-27986. RNAcentral describes it as "Bacillaceae-1 RNA". It matches the Rfam family "Bacillaceae-1 RNA". Lineage: Bacteria; Bacillati; Bacillota; Bacilli; Caryophanales; Bacillaceae. The record is from Rfam by way of RNAcentral.
UAUCGAUGAACGAAGACUAAGAACGCCACGUCCUGUGGCAAUGUCUUCAUGACCAACAUCCUGUAGG